Molecule: long non-coding RNA, 508 nt
Organism: Hyla sarda
Lineage: Eukaryota; Metazoa; Chordata; Amphibia; Anura; Hylidae
Exons: 3
Source: RefSeq, a predicted model, not a curated record
UGUUACAGCUGUUUUAGGGUCCUAUCCGCUCUGCCGUAGUAUCCCCCCGAGCUUCAUCUAAGGCUACUCUAUAGCAACCUAGUGCUUUGCUAUGUACCUAUAGGAAACAAGAGCCCCAAAACAUGUCUACACAUGUGGUACUCUUACUUUUGGAGGAGACUCUGGUUUGGACUUUGGAUGGCUCGUCUUCAAGGUGGAUUUCAUCGCUCUGGAUACAACAGAUGUCACCGCUACAACUGUCUCACUUGUGACCAUGAUGAGAAGUUUUCUGGCGACGGAAAUCCCGAAAGGAGAGUUUAAACUGGUGGUGAUAAGUAAUUCAACAAAAUAAAGACCACAAAUCCACAGUGCUCAUCCAGGAAGAGUGAGAAGCCAUAGAGCCAACCCCAGGAUCAACACAUCCUCUGGAAAUACACAAAUUAUACACUGCAUAUAUCAGAUAACUAACUAGAAGACCAUAGUUUGUAUCCAAAGCAAUAUACAAAGAACUACAGCUUUAGAGAUGAGC